UGUUGUCGGCUUAUUCAAAAUCUAGAAGGAAUGCUUAAGGCAAAGUUUAGGAGGCUGUGUUGUAUGGCCGGGGGCCUAAGUGACUGUCAGAGAGGAGUUGGUUAGAAACAAUAUUGGAUACUGUCGGCAACAUGUCAGUAUGUCUGCAGUUUCCCCAAGAAAGGCCAAAGGGUCAGAUGUCAGUUGCCAGUGCUAUUCCAAUACAUAUUUAUAAUAGUGAUUUGAAACGUGGUUGGUGCUAAAUUAGAUGUUGGAGUUUCUUCAGAAA
RNAcentral lists this long non-coding RNA (268 nucleotides) under Bos taurus (domestic cattle). Its description in RNAcentral is "long non-coding RNA NONBTAT020511". Lineage: Eukaryota; Metazoa; Chordata; Mammalia; Artiodactyla; Bovidae. The record is from RNAcentral.